AGCAGCCGCGGUAAUUCCAGCUCCAAUAGCGUAUAUUAAAGUUGUUGCAGUUAAAAAGCUCGUAGUUGAAUUUCGGGACCAAUUUGUUGGUCGUGCCUCGGUACGUACUGGUAUUAUUGGUUUCUCCCUUCUGAAGAACCAUGAUGCCAUUAAUUUGGUGUCGUGGGGAAUCAGGACUGUUACUUUGAAAAAAAUUAGAGUGUUUAAAGCAGGCAUACGCUUGAAUACAUUAGCAUGGAAUAAUGAAAUAGGACGUUUGAUUCUAUUUUGUUGGUUUCUAGGAUCGACGUAAUGAUUAAUAGGGAUAGUUGGGGGCAUUAGUAUUCAAUUGUCAGAGGUGAAAUUCUUGGAUUUAUUGAAGACUAACUACUGCGAAAGCAUUUGCCAAGGAUGUUUUCAUUAAUCAAGAACGAAAGUUAGGGGAUCGAAGACGAUCAGAUACCGUCGUAGUCUUAACCAUAAACUAUGCCGACUAGGGAUCGGAUGAUGUUAAUUUUUUAAUGACUCAUUCGGCGCCUUA
Molecule: unclassified non-coding RNA, 520 nt
Filed under: uncultured Glomus
Lineage: Eukaryota; Fungi; Glomeromycota; Glomeromycetes; Glomerales; Glomeraceae
Also listed under: 1 other name
Description: SSU rRNA
Rfam family: Eukaryotic small subunit ribosomal RNA
Source: RNAcentral